CUUUAAUUGAAAUUCAAAAUCCAUCUUUCUCAUGCCCAUCUUUCUCUCAUAUAACUAUGUGGACAACCUACUUCUUUCCUGAAAAAUCCAUACUCUAAAUGGUAUCCAUUCAGAGUGUAUUUUAUGUGCAUGUCCUCGUGCAUCAUAAAAUACUGUGCCUUAUUAAUAGAUUGUAUUUAAAUACACUUCUUCUACAAUUUUAAUAUUCCCUUCCUAAUAAAAAUCAGACUCUAAAUUUUUAAAUUUUUUUCCAUUUUGAUCUGACUCUCUUUCUUUUGUUUUAAUUGUCAUCUCACCAUCCUUUUGGUUGGGAAAAAAAAUAUUUUACAUCUACUCACAAGCUUUCUUGUCACAAAUUACUGAGUGCAUCCAACAUUUUUCGUUUCGUUUAUUAACUAAACAUUCUUGUAGCUUGAUUUUCUGACAACUCCUUUUUCAUACUCAUUCUACUCAUCUCAUGGCCCUCUUUCUUUGUAUAUAUUUUAGUUAACCUACCACAGUUUCCAUAUAAAUGCCUGUGAAUGUGUUUGAUUUACCCCUUUAUGCACUAACAUGGCAGGGGAAUAGAUUACAUGCGACCUACAUAGCAUAAUUAAAUGCUGCUAUCCCCUUGCAAAUGCUGCAAACUAAAUAUGUGUUGGCUCUUUAACAUGUGUAUGUUAAACUUUAAGAAACUGAUUGACAAUUGGUAGCCUAUAAUUUGGGAGGCACUCGCCACUAAUUGGGGGCAUUUCAUUUUUAAAUGAGUGCAAUAUAUGGGGGUGGCAUCUAGAUGGUGUCAGCUGGAUAGUAUCAAAAUGAGUGAUUAGAAGUGAUUUAUGUGCACCGUCAUGAACAUUGACCGCCAAGUUAGUGCGUGAAGGAUGGCAUAGACUUCUGUGCAUGAAGAAUGGCAUAGACUUCUGUGCAUGAAACUCGAAAUAGUAUUUUUUUUUAAAAAUCUCUGACCCUUGCAUUUCUAUUUUAAAAUUAUUUUGUAAUGCUUAAAAUCCAGUUUUUAACAAAUUCAUGUGAUUGGAUAGUCUCAUAUAUUUAUUCCAGGAGGCAUCAAAUGAGUAUACAUAAAGCUGACCCAAAUAGUUGGGAUAAAGCUUGAUGGAUUUAAUACUCAUAAACAUAUAACUUCCUUUGUAGAAAAAGUAAGUUUGUUAUUGUAUUAUGGAGGAUUGGCUCUUGGGAAUGUUGAGAUGCGAUCACGGGCCUCUGAUCAUGGAGGAUCAGCUCCAACUAAAAGGAGUUUUAUUCCAGCAAAAACUCUAGUUAAAGAAACAAAGCGUGGAGAGAAGACAUGAUUCACUUGAGACUUUUUUUCCUUUACUGGAUACUUGCACACACACACACAAACACACACACACACACACACACACACACACAGAGAGAGAGAGAGAGAGAGAGAGAGAGAGAGAGAGAC
This 1411-nucleotide long non-coding RNA is filed under the name Phoenix dactylifera (date palm). RNAcentral's name for it is "long non-coding RNA (PDAC_LNC014756)". Lineage: Eukaryota; Viridiplantae; Streptophyta; Magnoliopsida; Arecales; Arecaceae. The record is from RNAcentral.